GCGGGGGCAGCGCGGGCUGGGGCCCCUGGGUGCCCCUCCCGGCGCUCACGGCUGGGCCCUUACCAGAUGGUGGCGAAGCAGCCAGUGUGGCGCUGAAGCACGUUGGGAUAGUAGAACAUCGUCCCACCGGGCUUUCACCCUCGUCCCCACCACUCCUCCGCUGGAUCUCGGUCUCGAUCCGAGUCCUUUGUGGCACUGGGCUUCCCGACAGCGUCGGGGCAAAGGCUUUGGAGAGGCGGCACCCCGGGUGGCCCCCAGGACGCCAGGCCAGUGAUACUGAUGAACAAAGAUGCAAAAGCCCUCGACAAGAUAUUAGCAAACUGAAUCCAAUAAUACACUAAAAAAAAAAUCAUUCGUCACAAUCAAGAAGGAUUUAUUCCUGGGUUGCAAGUGUGGUUCAAUAUUUGCAAAUCAAUCAUGAUGUGUCAUAUUGUUAAGGAUAAAAAACAUAUGGUCAUUUCAAUAAAUGCAGAAAAAGCA
Canis lupus familiaris (dog) is the source of this 480-nucleotide long non-coding RNA. RefSeq lists it as uncharacterized. Lineage: Eukaryota; Metazoa; Chordata; Mammalia; Carnivora; Canidae. The record is from RefSeq and is a predicted model, not a curated record. The transcript has 2 exons.